GUCAUUUCCAGAGUUCAAAUAACAUAACCGAUUAUCACGAUCAAUAGCCAUUAAAGAAAAACUAUCCUUCUCACUCCCUCCAUUGUGGUUCAUAAGAAGCAAAAUUUUCCUAACAUAACCUACAUCAUAAUCACUGAACAAAGGUUUCGACGGAAUGUAGUACUGCACAUGAUAAGAUUUGCAAACCUCAGAAACGCGAAAGUCCAGUAAAUUCAAUACCUUAGGCAUAUGAUUCUGUAUUUCCCUGCCUGUCAGUGGAUUCAAAACCUUCAAUUUUCCAUCUGCUGUUUUUAUAACCUGGAUCAACCAUCCUUUACAAGGCGAAUCAAUUGAAUCUCCGUCAAGUGGUUGAAAAAUGUAAACAGUGCUUUCGAUGAGAUAGUAACCAGGCCUUCCUUUAUAAAUGUUACGGUCAUCGAGAGGGUAGGGGAUUUCAACAGGAAAAUGAGGAACUGUUUUGAAAGGAGCAAGUGAUGAACGCCAUGUUGUGCAGACUGAACGGAAGCGAAGAACGUCAAUUUGAGUGUCCAGGCAACUACCGAUCCUCUCGGCGAGUUCUUUCGGAAGAUCAGACCAUGGAACGUACCUUCCACUGCCCACAGUUUGCUGCUCCAUCAGAGCUUGGAUGAUAAAUUAAAGCCCUAGUAUUGCUGCUAU
This 657-nucleotide unclassified non-coding RNA is filed under the name Hevea brasiliensis (rubber tree). The record is from RNAcentral. Lineage: Eukaryota; Viridiplantae; Streptophyta; Magnoliopsida; Malpighiales; Euphorbiaceae.